AGUGAACGCUGGCGGUAGGCCUAACACAUGCAAGUCGAACGGGAGCACAGUAAGAGCUUGCUCUUACGGGUGGCGAGUGGCGGACGGGUGAGGAAUACAUCGGAAUCUACUUUUUCGUGGGGGAUAACGUAGGGAAACUUACGCUAAUACCGCAUACGACCUACGGGUGAAAGCAGGGGAUCUUCGGACCUUUCACGAUUGAAUGAGCCGAUGUCGGAUUAGCUAGUUGGCGGGGUAAUGGCCCACCAAGGCGACGAUCCGUAGCUGGUCUGAGAGGAUGAUCAGCCACACUGGAACUGAGACACGGUCCAGACUCCUACGGGAGGCAGCAGUGGGGAAUAUUGGACAAUGGGCGCAAGCCUGAUCCAGCAAUACCGCGUGGGUGAAGAAGGCCUUCGGGUUGUAAAGCCCUUUUGUUGGGAAAGAAAAGCAGCAGGUUAAUACCCCGAUGUUCUGACGGUACCCAAAGAAUAAGCACCGGCUAACUUCGUG
Molecule: ribosomal RNA, 492 nt
Filed under: uncultured bacterium
Lineage: Bacteria
Description: partial 16S ribosomal RNA
Rfam family: Bacterial small subunit ribosomal RNA
Source: RNAcentral